RNAcentral lists this ribosomal RNA (253 nucleotides) under uncultured bacterium. RNAcentral describes it as "partial 16S ribosomal RNA". It matches the Rfam family "Bacterial small subunit ribosomal RNA", at positions 524 to 776 of the family's 1533-position model. The record is from RNAcentral.
UACGUAGGGGGCUAGCGUUGUCCGGAAUCAUUGGGCGUAAAGCGCGUGUAGGCGGCCCGGUAAGUCCGCUGUGAAAGUCGGGGGCUCAACCCUCGAAAGCCGGUGGAUACUGUCGGGCUCGAGUACGGAAGAGGCGAGUGGAAUUCCCGGUGUAGCGGUGAAAUGCGCAGAUAUCGGGAAGAACACCCGUGGCGAAGGCGGCUCUCUGGAACGGUACUGACGCUGAGACGCGAAAGCGUGGGGAGCGAACAGG